Eptesicus fuscus (big brown bat) is the source of this 1012-nucleotide long non-coding RNA. RefSeq lists it as uncharacterized. The transcript has 3 exons. Lineage: Eukaryota; Metazoa; Chordata; Mammalia; Chiroptera; Vespertilionidae. The record is from RefSeq and is a predicted model, not a curated record.
AAAAAAAAAUCAAUAAAAUAUAUUUUAGAAAAACCACAAAAAAACCCCCAGUAACAGUUGAACAGGGGACAUAAUAGAGAGCAUAGAGUGAGUUAGAGAGUGUUCUUCAGUUUGGAAGUACAGCUGACCCUGAACAACACAGGUUUGAACUGCAAUGGUCUACAUAUACACAAUUUUGCAAUAGUCAGUCAGCCAUCUGUAUCUCCAGGUUUCACAUUAACAAAUUCAACCAACCACGAUUGAAAACAGUAUUUCUAGGGAUGCAGACAGGUGACUGAAUGCAUUCUAUGCCAUUUUGUUUAAGGGACUUGGGCAUCUUCAGAUUUUGGUAUCUGCAGGGGCUGGAAGACAUAGAACCAAUUCCCUGUGGAUACUGAGGGACAACUGAAGUUUUUGGAGUCAAAAGUUGUGAAUUUCAGACUGCGUAAUGGGUUGCUGCCCCUGACUCCGAUGCUGUUCAAAGAAGGGAGAUGGGUACUUCACGUCUUGGCUGCUAAAAGGACAAUUAACAGAUGACUUGUGGAUAAGUGCAUUACGCCCUUCAGUGACAAGUGACGAUCCAAGGGAACCCACUGGAAUGAAGAUAUUCCCCACUCCAGACUAUACUCUGAGGACUUCACCAUCAUCUGAAGGGCCCACAGCACAGUUUGUUCUAGAAAAACCUGAUUUCUGGUCUUAAAAACCUCCUAACUGAAUGAACUUGAACAAGUAGAUGAAACUUCUGUGCCAUUUCUUCACUGAUAAAAUGGGGUAAUAAUAUCUGCAUACAAGACCAUUGUGAAAGAUUCUAUCAUAUAAAAAAUGCUCUUUCCCUUUCCUCUGAUUUCAAUUUAAAAAAAUUACAAAUUUAGUCACCUUACAGCAGAAGACUAAAUUGCUGGGGGAGAAGUGUGGGAGUAACAUUAUAGUAAUUGAAAAUAUUGGUACUUGGUAGGAAGUUAAAUUUAUUUCAUCACUUGCUGUGUGUGACUUUGGUUAGUUUAGAUCAUAUCCUUUUAAAAUUUGCCAUCUU